Molecule: ribosomal RNA, 301 nt
Filed under: uncultured bacterium
Lineage: Bacteria
Description: partial 16S ribosomal RNA
Rfam family: Bacterial small subunit ribosomal RNA
Source: RNAcentral
CAGCCGCCACGGUAAUACGUAGGGUGCAAGCGUUAAUCGGAAUUACUGGGCGUAAAGCGUGCGCAGGCGGCUUCUUAAGUCGGAUGUGAAAUCCCUGAGCUUAACUUAGGAAUUGCAUUCGAUACUGGGAAGCUAGAGUAUGGGAGAGGAUGGUAGAAUUCCAGGUGUAGCGGUGAAAUGCGUAGAGAUCUGGAGGAAUACCGAUGGCGAAGGCAGCCAUCUGGCCUAAUACUGACGCUGAGGUACGAAAGCAUGGGGAGCAAACAGGAUUAGAUACCCCCGUAGUCCCUGUCUCUUAUAC